CAGUCGCCGCGGGAAUACGAAGGGGGCUAGCGUUGCUCGGAAUGACUGGGCGUAAAGGGCGCGUAGGCGGCAUACACAGUCAGGCGUGAAAUUCCUGGGCUCAACCUGGGGGCUGCGUUUGAUACGUGUAGGCUAGCGUGGGGAAGAGGGUUGUGGAAUUCCCAGUGUAGAGGUGAAAUUCGUAGAUAUUGGGAAGAACACCGGUGGCGAAGGCGGCAACCUGGUCCUUGACUGACGCUGAGGCGCGAAAGCGUGGGGAGCAAACAGGAUUAGAUACCCCUGUAGUCCCUGUCUCUUAUAC
RNAcentral lists this ribosomal RNA (301 nucleotides) under uncultured bacterium. Its description in RNAcentral is "partial 16S ribosomal RNA". It matches the Rfam family "Bacterial small subunit ribosomal RNA", at positions 509 to 807 of the family's 1533-position model. The record is from RNAcentral.